AAAGAAUUAGUUAAAUAUAUAACAUUAGAAUGUCAAACUGAAAUUAUUAAUUUAUUAAUAUUCUUUA
This 67-nucleotide transfer RNA is filed under the name Anisodactylus poeciloides. RNAcentral describes it as "tRNA-Asp". The record is from RNAcentral. Lineage: Eukaryota; Metazoa; Arthropoda; Insecta; Coleoptera; Carabidae.